CCCCAUGGGGAAAAAAAGGACAAAAUAUGAGCACAUACACCAGGCUCCUGUUCCUCUUAGGCUGUUAGCUUUAUUGGGCUGGUUUGUCGUUUGUCUGCUAGUGAUGUGUGGGACUCUCCUCACUUCACUUCCCUUCGUCCCUCUUCAAGGGUUUCUCUUGUGAUCUCUGCCCAUCUCCCAACAACCUUUCCCUCUCUCAGUACAGCUGCUGAUUUCAAAAUGCUGAGCCCUCUUCUGUAGGAGCCUGUCCCCCUAUCAUAGCUGAUGGAUGGGGUUGGAUGCCUGACCCAAAUUAGCCAAUCAGAGUUUCUCUCCUGAGAAUGUAAAGAGGGACAGAGAUAGGUGGGGACCAAAAGUUAUGGGAGCUGAGCCCUGUGUGGUAGGCAGAAUUUUACAUAGGGCACGUGUAAUAUGAUGAGAAGCUGAGCUUCUCACUCCCACAAUUGCUGUGUUACUUGGCAGGGUUGACCUUAAGAUAAAAGACUCUCAGGUGAGCCUGAUCUAGUCAUCUGGUUCUUUCAAAGCAGCAGGAGUCAGAUUUGAAGCACGAGGGACUUUGCUGGCUUGAAGAUGGAGGGGGUCAUAGGGGAAGAAAGUGCUGUGGCUUCUAGGAGCUGACGGAGUUUCCCAGCUGAGAGCCAUUGAGGAAGUGGACACCUCAAUCUUAUAAUCACAAGGACGUGAUUCAGCCAACAACCUGAAGGAGCUUAGAAGUGGACUUUCCCCUCAAGCUUCCAGAGAAGACCCCAGCAUGGCUGACACCUUGGCUUUGGUCUUGAGCAGAGGACAAAGUUGAGCUGUGCCAGACUUCUGACCUACAGAACUUGUGCUUUUAGAUGGUGUCUCUGGGGAUGUGUUCUUCUGACCCAUUGAGUCAAUGCUUUCAUCAGCCCCAGGGCUCUGCCAGGGAGCACAGUUCCUCUUGCCUGCUCCAGCUCUUACUCAUUUAAUUGAGAGCAACGACAGCAUGUGUUUAGGGAGAGGAGACCUCUUAGUAUUUUUAAAAUGGUUUGACCUUUUUCAAAAUAAAACUUUGGAGGGGAGAAAAAAGAACUGUCAUGAUUUUUAUUCAGGAUAUACAUGCUAGGCUUUUGGGUGCUUUCCUGAAUGGAAUCUUUUGACACUAUGACCAGCUGUAUUGUGAACGGGAUAAUUUUUAAAAAGAUGGAGUUAAAGUAGAGAUGACGUCCCUUACCCAGAGGAAAACGAUGAGUUUCCACUUUGCUGCUAAUGGAAUCGCUAAGCACCCUGUGGCGUGUCGGUGUAUUUGUGAAUGGAGCCUCACUUUGCGCAACGACGGAGUUGCAGGUCCCUGCUGCUGCUGCUACUGCUGCUAAGUCGCUUCAGUCGUGUCCGACUCUGCAACCCCAUAGACAGCAGCCCACCAGGCUCCCCCGUCCCUGGGAUUCUCCAAGCAAGAACACUGGAGUGGGUUGCCAUUUCCUUCUCCAAUGCACGAAAGUGAAAAGUGAAAGUGAAUUUGCUCAGUCGUGUCCGGCUCUUAGCGACCCCAUGGACUGCAGCCCACCAGGCUCCUCUGUCCCUGGGAUUUUCCAGGCAAGAGUACUGGAGUGGGUUGCCAUUGCCUUCUCCUCCAAGGUCCCUAUCUGUGGGCAACACAGCUGGCAACUUGAGCCCCUUACUUAAUGGGUUUCAGGCUCUUUUGUUAGAGGGCUGGCCUGCUGGGUUUUUUAACUUCUUAACUUCCAUGGUCGAGGAGUCUUGUGUUUCUAAUUCUGUUUCUUCUACUGUUCUAGUUAGAUGACUACAACAUAAUCCUAGCACUUUGGUCUUAAAGUGAUGAGAACCAGGACAGGAUUAGCUGGGAAUUUUAAGACAGCAUCUAUGCU
Long non-coding RNA from Bos taurus (domestic cattle), 1850 nucleotides. Lineage: Eukaryota; Metazoa; Chordata; Mammalia; Artiodactyla; Bovidae. The record is from Ensembl.